CCUACGGGUGGCAGCAGUGAGGAAUAUUGGUCAAUGGGCGGAAGCCUGAACCAGCCAAGUAGCGUGCAGGAUGACGGCCCUACGGGUUGUAAACUGCUUUUAUACGGGAAUAACGCGCCUUAAGUGUAGGGCUUUGCAUGUACCGUAUGAAUAAGGACCGGCUAAUUCCGUGCCAGCAGCCGCGGUAAUAAGGAAGGUCCGGGCGUUAUCCGGAUUUAUUGGGGUUCAAGGGGGCGUCGGCCGCAUGUAAAGGGUGCUGUGAAAUGUCCGGGCUCAACCCGGGCCGUGCAGCGCGAAUUGGCGUGCUUGAGUCCGCGGAAAGCAGGCGGAAUUCGUGGUGUAGCGGUGAAAUGCUUAGAUAUGACGAAGAACCCCGAUGGCGAAGGCAGCUUGCUGCAGCGGAACUGACGCUGAUGCUCGAAAGCGCGGGUAUCGAACAGGAUUAGAUACCCUUGUAGUC
RNAcentral lists this ribosomal RNA (460 nucleotides) under uncultured bacterium. RNAcentral's name for it is "partial 16S ribosomal RNA". It matches the Rfam family "Bacterial small subunit ribosomal RNA", at positions 338 to 795 of the family's 1533-position model. The record is from RNAcentral.